This 31-nucleotide non-coding RNA is filed under the name Mus musculus (house mouse). The record is from RNAcentral. Lineage: Eukaryota; Metazoa; Chordata; Mammalia; Rodentia; Muridae.
UGCAAAGACAGCCACUACCCAGUCUGGCCCU